Long non-coding RNA from Monopterus albus (swamp eel), 931 nucleotides. RefSeq lists it as uncharacterized. The transcript is spliced from 3 exons. The record is from RefSeq and is a predicted model, not a curated record. Lineage: Eukaryota; Metazoa; Chordata; Actinopteri; Synbranchiformes; Synbranchidae.
UGAGCUGAACAGCCAUCAGUGGUCUCUCUCACACUGACAAAGCCUGACCAGCAUUUCCGAUUCAACAUGAUGAACCAGCUGAAAAGCUGCAAACUAGUGUCAACGGUGUGGAAUCCACCGGGAAGACGACGCUACGAUGGCUGACCAGUGGCUUGUGGUGAAACAAGCACUGAAGUGUUACUUUGGAGAUCCUUAAGUAUCUCAGGGCUAAAGUGGGAUGUUUGGCAGCCCGCCUUCUUCACUUUGGAGCUGCAUUCACUACUGCUGUGUUAAUGUGUCUGGAGACUGUGGAGUGUGGGGUGUAAAUGAAACCAAAGAGACAAGUUGGGGUUUGGCAUACUUGCAUCUGAUCAAUUAUUCAUGCUGUGUGUUUGCAGGGGAAACCACAUAGUACAAACUAAAGUGAUCAAAUCUGUACAUGGAUAUUUAUUUAAAGUUGACGUUUUGUGUGGCACAGCAGUGACUUUGGGGUGCAACUUUUAGGGAUUCUGUUGUAACUUCAGUCACAAAUUGAAAAAUAGUUUCACAUUUGUAACUCAAACAUCUAAUGCAAUAUUACACUUAUUAAAGUGGCUUAUACUAUUUCCACUCCCUAACGUGAGCGGUGUCAUGACAGCUGCAUGCAUUUGGAGUGACUUUACCUGCUGUCAAUAACACCUGAAACAUGAUUUAUUGGUUAUUUUUAUUUUUAUAAUGGCUUAUUGUUAGUUUAUUGGCUUAUUGUUGUUAGUUUGUAUGUAUUGUACUUGUAUGUAUUAAAAAUCUGUUAAAUAGCCUGCUCAUCAAAGGGCCCUGAACACAAUGUUGACCACAAUUCAUGAGUUCUUAUUGUGAACAUGACAGGCUCCUGCUCUAUAGUUCCCAUUGACAUUUGACCUUCCUGUAGCAGAGACAGGAAAAUUAGAUUUUUUUUUUUUUUUUUUUUUUUUUU